AACGCAGGUGGUUUGGUAAGUCAGGGGUGAAAGUCCACAGCUUAACUGUGGCACUGCCUUUGAUACUACCUUUCUUGAGUGCAUGAGGGGGAAGCGGAAUUCCGAGUGUAGAGGUGAAAUUCGUAGAUAUUCGGAGGAACACCGGUGGCGAAGGCGGCUUCCUGGCAUGUAACUGACACUCAUGUUCGAAAGCGUGGGGAGCAAACAGGAUUAGAUACCCUGGUAGUCCACGCCCUAAACGAUGGGCGACUAGGUGUGGGAGGUAUCGACCCCUUCCGUGCCGCAGCUAACGCAUUAAGUGCCCCGCCUGGGGAGUACGGCCGCAAGGUUGA
RNAcentral lists this ribosomal RNA (332 nucleotides) under uncultured bacterium. Its description in RNAcentral is "bacterial SSU rRNA". It matches the Rfam family "Bacterial small subunit ribosomal RNA", at positions 568 to 897 of the family's 1533-position model. The record is from RNAcentral.